UACGGAGGGUGCAAGCGUUGUCCGGAUUUAUUGGGUUUAAAGGGUGCGUAGGCGGAUGUUUAAGUCAGUGGUGAAAGUUUGCGGCUCAACCGUAAAAUUGCCAUUGAUACUGGACAUCUUGAGUACAGUUGAGGUAGGCGGAAUUCAUGGUGUAGCGGUGAAAUGCAUAGAUACCAUGAAGAACACCUAUAGCGAAGGCAGCUUACUAAACUGUAACUGACGCUGAGGCACGAAAGCGUGGGGAGCGAACAGG
RNAcentral lists this ribosomal RNA (253 nucleotides) under uncultured bacterium. RNAcentral's name for it is "partial 16S ribosomal RNA". It matches the Rfam family "Bacterial small subunit ribosomal RNA", at positions 524 to 776 of the family's 1533-position model. The record is from RNAcentral.